RNAcentral lists this ribosomal RNA (497 nucleotides) under uncultured bacterium. RNAcentral describes it as "partial 16S ribosomal RNA". It matches the Rfam family "Bacterial small subunit ribosomal RNA", at positions 28 to 507 of the family's 1533-position model. The record is from RNAcentral.
GAUGAACGCUGGCGGCGUGCCUAAUACAUGCAAGUCGAGCGAACAGACGAGGAGCUUGCUCCUCUGACGUUAGCGGCGGACGGGUGAGUAACACGUGGAUAACCUACCUAUAAGACUGGGAUAACUUCGGGAAACCGGAGCUAAUACCGGAUAAUAUAUUGAACCGCAUGGUUCAAUAGUGAAAGACGGUUUUGCUGUCACUUAUAGAUGGAUCCGCGCCGCAUUAGCUAGUUGGUAAGGUAACGGCUUACCAAGGCAACGAUGCGUAGGCGACCUGAGAGGGGGAUCGGCCACACUGGAACUGAGACACGGUCCAGACUCCUACGGGAGGCAGCAGUAGGGAAUCUUCCGCAAUGGGCGAAAGCCUGACGGAGCAACGCCGCGUGAGUGAUGAAGGUCUUCGGAUCGUAAAACUCUGUUAUUAGGGAAGAACAAAUGUGUAAGUAACUAUGCACGUCUUGACGGUACCUAAUCAGAAGGCCACGGCUAACUACGUG